GUGGUCCCACCUGACCCCAUGCCGAACUCAGAAGUGAAACGCCGUAGCGCCGAUGGUAGUGUGGGGUCUCCCCAUGUGAGAGUAGGGAACCGCCAGGU
This 98-nucleotide ribosomal RNA is filed under the name Morganella morganii. Lineage: Bacteria; Pseudomonadati; Pseudomonadota; Gammaproteobacteria; Enterobacterales; Morganellaceae. The record is from RNAcentral. RNAcentral also lists the same sequence under 1 other name.